RNAcentral lists this non-coding RNA (80 nucleotides) under Blautia obeum. Its description in RNAcentral is "Cyclic di-GMP-I riboswitch". It matches the Rfam family "c-di-GMP-I riboswitch aptamer". From Rfam's summary of the family: GEMM was predicted in a large-scale screen for bacterial structured RNA regulatory elements. Genes associated with GEMM are involved in a diverse array of functions, including chemotaxis regulation, signal transduction, secretion and chitin. RNAcentral also lists the same sequence under 1 other name. The record is from RNAcentral. Lineage: Bacteria; Bacillati; Bacillota; Clostridia; Lachnospirales; Lachnospiraceae.
AUUCAAAGGCAAACCUGUCGAAAGGCAGGGACGCAAAGCCAUGGGUCUAAGGUCGUGAGAUUAUGACAGCCGGUUGCCGC